GAUGAACGCUGGCGGCGUGCCUAAUACAUGCAAGUCGAGCGAACGGACGAGAAGCUUGCUUCUCUGAUGUUAGCGGCGGACGGGUGAGUAACACGUGGAUAACCUACCUAUAAGACUGGGAUAACUUCGGGAAACCGGAGCUAAUACCGGAUAAUAUUUUGAACCGCAUGGUUCAAAAGUAAAAGACGGUCUUGCUGUCACUUAUAGAUGGAUCCGCGCUGCAUUAGCUAGUUGGUAAGGUAACGGCUUACCAAGGCAACGAUGCAUAGCCGACCUGAGAGGGUGAUCGGCCACACUAGAACUGAGACACGGUCCAGACUCCUACGGGAGGCAGCAGUAGGGAAUCUUCAGCAAUGGGCGAAAGCCUGACGGAGCAACGCCGCGUGAGUGAUGAAGGUCUUCGGAUCUUAAAACUCUGUUAUUAGGGAAGAACAUAUGUGUAAGUAACUGUGCACAUCUUGACGGUACCUAAUCAGAAAGCCACGGCUAACUACGUG
RNAcentral lists this ribosomal RNA (497 nucleotides) under uncultured bacterium. RNAcentral describes it as "partial 16S ribosomal RNA". It matches the Rfam family "Bacterial small subunit ribosomal RNA", at positions 28 to 507 of the family's 1533-position model. The record is from RNAcentral.